RNAcentral lists this long non-coding RNA (353 nucleotides) under Trifolium pratense (red clover). Its description in RNAcentral is "long non-coding RNA (TPRA_LNC012216)". The record is from RNAcentral. Lineage: Eukaryota; Viridiplantae; Streptophyta; Magnoliopsida; Fabales; Fabaceae.
CCACCCAAUCUACUAAAAUCAAGCAUUUAACAACACAAGAAAAAAACAUUAAGAGAAAAAAUUGAUUGAACACCGUAUGGACUUUUCAGCAUCACAAAUUCAUCAUAUACAAGAUAUCUGCUUCUCCUCUAUGUUCAUGUCUAAAUAACAGGCGUACUGGUUCUUUAAUUUUCUUGUCCAUUUGACUAUAUCAUCCCUGGGAGCAUCACAAAAACACCUCAAAAUAUAAACAUUUCAAUUGAUUCAAGCAGAAACUUGCAAUAACGGGAACCAAAGAAGAAACAAGGUAGGAAUCUUAGCUAAAGCAAUUAAAAGACUAAAAAACAAUAGCAUAAGCCUUUCGCCUUACACCU